GACAGAGGGGGCAAGCGUUGCUCGGAAUCACUGGGCGUAAAGGGCGCGUAGGCGGGAUGGCAAGUCAGUCGUGAAAUCUCUCGGCUCAACCGAGAAACGUCGGCUGAUACUGCCGUUCUUGAGGGAUGCAGAGGAGACUGGAAUUCCCGGUGUAGCGGUGAAAUGUGUAGAGAUCGGGAGGAACACCGGUGGCGAAGGCGGGUCUCUGGGCAUUUCCUGACGCUGAGGCGCGAAAGCGUGGGGAGCAAACGGG
Molecule: ribosomal RNA, 253 nt
Filed under: uncultured bacterium
Lineage: Bacteria
Also listed under: 3 other names
Description: partial 16S ribosomal RNA
Rfam family: Bacterial small subunit ribosomal RNA
Source: RNAcentral